AUUCUACCCAUGCGGGGAAGGAUGAGAAGCUUCGACUAAGGUUCGAUUCGAGCGCAGCGAGAAAGCGUUGCCGCAGGCAACGACCCGAAGGGCGAAGCGCGCAGCGCUGAGUAAUCCUUCCCCCACCACCA
Molecule: small RNA, 131 nt
Filed under: Salmonella enterica subsp. enterica serovar Gallinarum
Lineage: Bacteria; Pseudomonadati; Pseudomonadota; Gammaproteobacteria; Enterobacterales; Enterobacteriaceae
Also listed under: 136 other names
Description: RtT sRNA
Rfam family: RtT RNA
About the family: This family represents a bacterial cis-regulatory element known as RtT RNA. The exact function of RtT is unknown although it is thought that it may be involved in changing the cellular response in relation to amino acid starvation.
Source: RNAcentral